This 450-nucleotide ribosomal RNA is filed under the name uncultured bacterium. RNAcentral's name for it is "partial 16S ribosomal RNA". It matches the Rfam family "Bacterial small subunit ribosomal RNA", at positions 338 to 795 of the family's 1533-position model. The record is from RNAcentral.
CCUACGGGGGGCUGCAGUAAGGAAUAUUGGUCAAUGGACGAAAGUCUGAACCAGCCAUCCCGCGUGCAGGAUGAAAGCCCUAUGGGUUGUAAACUGCUUUUAGCAGAGAAGAAAAGCUUUCAUUAAUGAGAGUCUGACGGUAUCUGCAGAAUAAGCACCGGCUAACUCCGUGCCAGCAGCCGCGGUAAUACGGAGGGUGCGGGAGUUAUCCGGAAUUACUGGGUUUAAGGGGUACGAUGACGUCAUAGGUGAAAUCUUGUCGCGUAACGAUAAAAUUGCAAAGGAUACUGGUACUCGUGAAUUGGGUUGAGGUUAGCGGAAUGUGACAUGUAGCGGUGAAAUGCAUAGAUAUGUCAUGGAACACCAAUUGCGAAGGCAGCUAACUGGGCCUUGAUUGACGCUGAGGCACGAAAGCGUGGGUAGCGAACAGGAUUAGAUACCCCAGUAGUC